RNAcentral lists this ribosomal RNA (355 nucleotides) under uncultured bacterium. RNAcentral's name for it is "bacterial SSU rRNA". It matches the Rfam family "Bacterial small subunit ribosomal RNA", at positions 527 to 881 of the family's 1533-position model. The record is from RNAcentral.
GUAGGUCCCGAGCGUUGUCCGGAUUUAUUGGGCGUAAAGCGAGCGCAGGCGGUUUGAUAAGUCUGAAGUUAAAGGCUGUGGCUCAACCAUAGUUCGCUUUGGAAACUGUCAAACUUGAGUGCAGAAGGGGAGAGUGGAAUUCCAUGUGUAGCGGUGAAAUGCGUAGACAUAUGGAGGAACACCGGUGGCGAAAGCGGCUCUCUGGUCUGUAACUGACGCUGAGGCUCGAAAGCGUGGGGAGCGAACAGGAUUAGAUACCCUGGUAGUCCACGCCGUAAACGAUGAGUGCUAGGUGUUGGAUCCUUUCCGGGAUUCAGUGCCGCAGCUAACGCAUUAAGCACUCCGCCUGGGGAGU